RNAcentral lists this ribosomal RNA (497 nucleotides) under uncultured bacterium. Its description in RNAcentral is "partial 16S ribosomal RNA". It matches the Rfam family "Bacterial small subunit ribosomal RNA", at positions 28 to 507 of the family's 1533-position model. The record is from RNAcentral.
GAUGAACGCUGGCGGCGUGCCUAAUACAUGCAAGUCGAGCGAACAGACGAGGAGCUUGCUCCUCUGACGUUAGCGGCGGACGGGUGAGUAACACGUGGAUAACCUACCUAUAAGACUGGGAUAACUUCGGGAAACCGGAGCUAAUACCGGAUAAUAUCUUGAACCGCAUGGUUCAAUAGUGAAAGACGGUUUUGCUGUCACUUAUAGAUGGAUCUGCGCCGCAUUAGCUAGUUGGUAAGGUAACGGCUUACCAAGGCAACGAUGCGUAGCCGACCUGAGAGGGUGAUCGGCCACACUGGAACGGGGACACGGUCCAGACGCCUACGGGAGGCAGCAGUAGGGAAUCUUCCGCAAUGGGCGAAAGCCUGACGGAGCAACGCCGCGUGAGUGAUGAAGGUCUUCGGAUCGUAGAACUCUGUUAUUAGGGAAGAACAAAUGUGUAAGUAACUAUGCACGUCUUGACGGUACCUAAUCAGAAAGCCACGGCUAACUACGUG